UGGGGUGUAGCUCAAUGGUAGAGCACUCGACUGUGGGAGAUAAAGGAAACUUACCAGUUCAAUUCUGGUUUCUCCAAGAGUAAUCGAGUGGUUGUAGGUUCGAGUCCUACCUCCCCAG
RNAcentral lists this transfer RNA (118 nucleotides) under Sinorhizobium phage phiM12. It matches the Rfam family "tRNA". Rfam says of the family: Transfer RNA (tRNA) molecules are approximately 80 nucleotides in length. Their secondary structure includes four short double-helical elements and three loops (D, anti-codon, and T loops). Further hydrogen bonds mediate the characteristic L-shaped molecular structure. tRNAs have two regions of fundamental functional importance: the anti-codon, which is responsible for specific mRNA codon recognition, and the 3' end, to which the tRNAs corresponding amino acid is attached (by aminoacyl-tRNA synthetases). tRNAs cope with the degeneracy of the genetic code in two manners: having more than one tRNA (with a specific anti-codon) for a particular amino acid; and 'wobble' base-pairing, i.e. permitting non-standard base-pairing at the 3rd anti-codon position. Lineage: Duplodnaviria; Heunggongvirae; Uroviricota; Caudoviricetes. The record is from Rfam by way of RNAcentral.